CAGCGCCCCAAGUGGCAGUCGCGUUUAUUGGGCCUAAAGCGUCCGUAGCCGGACAAAUAAAUCCGCUGUGAAAUCGUCGCGCUUAACGUGACGGCAUGCAGUGGACACUGUUUGUCUCGAGACCGGGAGGAGUCAGAGGUAUGCCGUGGGGACCGGUAAAAUGGGAUAAUCCACGGUAGACCACCAAUGGCGAAGGCAUCUGACCAGAACGGAUCUGACGGUGAGGGACGAAAGCCAGGGGAGCGAACCGGAUUAGAUACCCGAGUAGUCC
Molecule: ribosomal RNA, 271 nt
Filed under: uncultured archaeon
Lineage: Archaea
Description: partial 16S ribosomal RNA
Rfam family: Archaeal small subunit ribosomal RNA
Source: RNAcentral